This 730-nucleotide ribosomal RNA is filed under the name uncultured Gammaproteobacteria bacterium. RNAcentral describes it as "bacterial SSU rRNA". It matches the Rfam family "Bacterial small subunit ribosomal RNA", at positions 62 to 783 of the family's 1533-position model. The record is from RNAcentral. Lineage: Bacteria; Pseudomonadati; Pseudomonadota; Gammaproteobacteria.
UCGAACGGUAACAUAGCUAGCUUGCUAGCUGAUGACGAGUGGCGGACGGGUGAGUAACGCGUAGGAAUCUACCUAUUAGUGGGGGACAACCUGGUGAAAACCAGGCUAAUACCGCAUACGCCCUACGGGGGAAAGCAGGGGAUCUUCGGACCUUGCGCUAUUAGAUGAGCCUGCGUUAGAUUAGCUUGUUGGUGAGGUAAAGGCUCACCAAGGCGACGAUCUAUAGCUGGUCUGAGAGGAUGAUCAGCCACACUGGGACUGAGACACGGCCCAGACUCCUACGGGAGGCAGCAGUGGGGAAUAUUGCGCAAUGGGCGAAAGCCUGACGCAGCCAUACCGCGUGUGUGAAGAAGGGUUUAGGCUCGUAAAGCACUUUAAGUAGGGAGGAAGGCCUGUAACUUAAUACGUUGCAGGAUUGACGUUACCUACAGAAUAAGCACCGGCUAACUCCGUGCCAGCAGCCGCGGUAAUACGGAGGGUGCAAGCGUUAAUCGGAAUUACUGGGCGUAAAGCGCGCGUAGGCGGUUUGUUAAGCGAGAUGUGAAAGCCCAGGGCUCAACCUUGGAACUGCAUUUCGAACUGGCAGGCUAGAGUACAAGAGAGGGUGGUAGAAUUUCCUGUGUAGCGGUGAAAUGCGUAGAUAUAGGAAGGAAUACCAGUGGCGAAGGCGGCCACCUGGCUUGAUACUGACGCUGAGGUGCGAAAGCGUGGGGAGCGAACAGGAUUAGAU